GUCUGAUGCCGAACUGGUUCUUUGAGAAAAUUGCACCUGCUUGCACGUCCACUGACCAGCUGAAGGGCUGGCUAAGCUUCGUGACUGCUUUUCUUCCGCUCACCACUGGAAUAUCCACACUGGUCUCCCUCUAGGAGGGAUCCUGAUACCUGUGAUAUCCAAGUUCUGCCGAGCUUACUCCAUUUACCAACUCUGCUCCAAAGGAAAUAGAAGGCUGCUUCAAAACAUUAAAUCCAUGAAGAGUGGACAGAGGCCGGCCAGGACUAGGAUAUUCAAAAGUACGUGCUGGGUCCGGCCCCGUGGCCAAGUGGUUAAGUUCACAAGCUCUGCUUCGGUGGCACAGGGUUUUGCAGGUUCAGAUCCCGGGCACGGAC
Molecule: long non-coding RNA, 374 nt
Filed under: Equus caballus (horse)
Lineage: Eukaryota; Metazoa; Chordata; Mammalia; Perissodactyla; Equidae
Description: lncRNA (ENSECAG00000052640.1)
Source: RNAcentral